GCCCUGUUAGCUCAGUGGUAGUAGCGCGUCACUAGUACCGGAGAUAUUUCGGAGUUAUGACGAGGUCACUCGUUCAAGUCGGGUACAGGGCA
This is a non-coding RNA of Exidia glandulosa HHB12029, 92 nucleotides long. The record is from the annotation of a GenBank genome assembly. NCBI's taxonomy places the organism in Eukaryota, Fungi, Basidiomycota, Agaricomycetes, Auriculariales, Exidiaceae.